ACGGACCAGUCCCGUCUCGUCGCUGCCCGCGUUCAAACCGACAGGGACUGGGUGUAGUUCUGCCCUCGCCGCCGAUCCCGACGCAGUGGCCGAAUCUGGUUGUUUUUUUUCUUUUGAGCCCGUUUCAAUUCCCAGUGCCGGAGUGAAUUAUGUGGUGCAGUGGCCGCCUCAAAUAGUCUGAGUUCGGAACCCGAAUCGUCUCGCCGCAUCUCCGCCCUUCCAACAUGUUCCGCUGCAUUCCCAUUUUCAAAGGAUGUAAUCGCCAGGUCGAAUACGUUGACAAGCGUCACUGCUCCUUGCCCAACGUCCCGGAGGAUAUUCUCAGGUACUCGAGGAGCCUGGAGGAACUCCUCCUCGACGCCAACCACAUCCGGGAUCUCCCGAAGAAUUUCUUCCGUUUGCACCGCCUGAGGAAGUUAGGACUGAGCGAUAAUGAAAUACAACGGCUUCCACCGGACAUACAGAAUUUCGAAAGCCUCGUCGAACUCGACGUGUCCCGCAAUGACAUUCCGGACAUCCCCGAAAACAUCAAAAAUCUUCAGGCGCUUCAGGUGGCGGAUUUCAGUAGUAAUCCGAUCUCGAGGUUGCCACCGGGAUUUGUCCAUUUAAAAAAUCUAACAGUUCUAGGAUUGAACGAUAUGUCAUUAACAAAUCUACCACCUGAUUUUGGGUUAUUGACUAGUCUACAGUCAUUAGAACUGCGAGAGAACUUACUUAAGUCCCUCCCUGAGUCUCUAUCGCAGCUAUCAGCACUUGAAAGGCUUGAUUUAGGGGAUAAUGAAAUAGAAGAAUUGCCUCGUCACAUAGGGAAAUUACCUGCCCUUCAGGAACUGUGGUUGGACCAUAAUCAACUUCAGCAUUUACCAUCGGAAAUUGGCGAGUUAAAAUCUCUGACAUGCCUCGAUGUAUCUGAAAACAGACUGGAGGGCCUUCCUGAAGAAAUCGGUGGUCUUGAAAGCCUAACGGAUCUUCACUUAUCUCAGAACGUAAUCGAAACCCUGCCUGAUGGAUUGGGCAGCCUGAAGAAACUAUUGAUUUUAAAGGUGGAUCAAAACAGGUUAUCGAUACUUAACAGCAACAUAGGAAAAUGUGAAAAUUUACAAGAAUUAAUUUUGACGGAAAAUUUUCUUGUGGAACUUCCACUCUCCAUAGGAAAUCUAGUAAACUUGACAAAUCUGAAUGUAGACAGAAACAGCCUUCACAAUGUUCCACCAGAAAUUGGUAGGCUAGCCUCUUUAGGCGUCCUUUCGCUGCGGGACAACAAGCUCCAAUACAUUCCGUCUGAAAUUGGAAACUGCUCAUUACUUCACGUCCUUGACCUCUCUGGAAAUAGGUUGCAAUAUCUGCCAUUUUCGCUGACAAACUUGCAGUUAAAAGCUGUUUGGCUGUCUGAGAAUCAGGCUCAGCCACUGCUCACCUUCCAGACUGAGCACGAUGAAGCGAGUAAUGAACAGGUGCUCACAUGUUUCCUUCUCCCGCAACAAGAAUCUGCCCAGGACAACACUGCCGGGCGAGUGAACAAGGCUUUUGAAGUUGGAUUUGGAAUGUCAACAUUAGAUCCAGUUGAAAGCGAUGAAGAAGGAUGGGAGGAGAGAGAGGCAUCGAGGACCCAUUCUGUCAAGUUCACUGAGGAUGUCGAGACUGAACCAGGGAAGGAGUCAAGUUCAACUCCGUUUGUGAGGCAAAACACCCCCCACCCUAAAGAACUCAAAGCAAAGGCACACAAACUGUUUAAUAAAUCUAAAAUUAUUGACAGUAGAGAAUUGGCAGUUGAAGAACUGGAUGAAUCUACAAGAUCAUCAUCAUUUAGAAAUGAUCGCCUUAGUUCUACUGAUGUAGAUCCAAAUAGCGAACGUAGUUCUUAUUCAGAAAGCACAGCUAAAGAUGAAUUCAAAGAGGCUAUAAAUAACAAGAAAAAGGAGGAGGAAAUAGCGGCGAGCAACGAGAAACCUGCUAAUCCGGCCCCACCCGAAUUGAACAGCAGAAACGAAGUCGAUGCGGUUGUUGAUAUUAAUGAAGAGAGGUUGGAAAUAAAACUAGAGAAAACUUCAGCUGGUUUGGGCCUUUCUAUAGCCGGAGGAUUGGGUUCGACCCCGUUUAAAGGAGACGAUGAAGGAAUUUUUGUAUCUCGUGUCACUGAUGGUGGCCCAGCAGAUAUUGCUUGCCUUAAAGUCGGUGACAAGAUACUUUCUGUUAACGGGCACAAUAUGGUCGGUGCUGGUCACUAUGAGGCUGUAGAAGUUCUCAGGUCGGCUGGGCCUGUACUUAAUAUUGUGAUCAUCCGUGAUGUCUCUAGGUUAUUACCAUUGCAGAAGAAUUCAUCCCGUAUCGGUGAUUCAGUCCCAUCUAGUCUAAGCACGAGCAGACCACCCAGUUCAACAUCACAUUAUUCAGGAGUGACUUCAGUGUUUGAAGAGUAUCCACAGAACGGUCCAUUGCAUCAUCCAGUCGAUUCAAAGCUGGCUCAGCUCAAGAAAGAAAACUAUGAAAUUACUCAUCAACCUGUUUAUACAACAUUAAUAAGGGACCAUAAUGGACUUGGAUUUAGUAUAGCUGGAGGCAAAGGAUGUCCACCAUUUAGGGAAAAUUCAGAGUCAAUAUAUAUUUCAAGGAUAACAGAAGGUGGGGUAGCAGAAAAAGAUGGUAAACUUCAAGUUGGUGAUAGAAUUGUAUCUAUAAAUGGUGUGGAUCUGGAAGGUGCUCGGCAUGACCAGGCUGUGUCGAUGCUGACAGGUCUUGAGCGUUAUGUUAGGCUAGUUGCUGAAAGGGAAGUUAUUGUUCCGAAAGGGUCAACAACAGCUCCGACUCCUCCUCCUCCAGUUGAAAAAUCGCCAAAAUUAUUUCCUGUACCGAAACCGUAUACAUCUUUGUACAAUGCCAAUAGCCAUAUUGCGGGUGCAAGGCCUCCAAGUGUAAGGUCUAGUACGCCUCCGAACACCAACUCGACUUCUUCUGUUUCUUCACCACCUAAGCCAGCACCAAGAAGAAUAACAAGCCAGUCGUCUACUGAAUCAGACCCAGCCCCAAACACUGCUUCAACCGAGACCGGGUCGACGAUCAGAACGAAACCGAUCACAAAUGAAGAGUUCCAAGCGAUGAUCCCCGCACACUUCAUCGACGGUUCAAAAGGAGGAGACAGUGCGAAACCUAACGAUCCAACUACAGUAACACUCACGAUCAAAGCGCCAAACCCAAACAUGGCCAAUGGCAUCGAAUUCCCGGACACACCAACUUCAUUGGGCAAAGUCACUGAAACUAUUACGAAGAGUACUUUCACAGAGACGGUCGUCACUAGAGUCACUGACAAUAAACUGGCUGAAUCAGUUAUUAUUGAGGAAGUGACAUUAGCUAAAGAUGGAGGAUCCUUAGGGUUUAGCAUUAUCGGUGGGACAGACCAUUCUUGUACUCCAUUCGGAAAGAACGAACCGGGAAUAUUCAUAUCCCACAUUGUCGCGGGUGGGCGUGCAGCAAAUUCUGGUAAACUGAGGAUGGGCGAUAGAAUACUUAAAGUUAACAAAGAUGAUUUAACAAAAUGUAGGCACAACGAGGCAGUUAUGUCUCUUCUUCAACCAUCAAAUGAGAUAACAUUGACUGUCCAACACGAUCCUCUUCCAGAAGGCUUCCAAGACUUAACAAUAGUUAGGCAAGAUGGUGAGAAGCUCGGAAUGCAUAUAAAAGGUGGUUUACGGGGCCACAGGGGCAAUCCACUGGAUAAGACUGAUGAAGGAGUUUUCAUAUCGAAGAUAAACUCUGGUGGUGCUGCAAAAAGGGACGGAAGGCUUAAAGUAGGCAUGAGACUACUUGAAGUCAACGGCUUCUCCCUGCUAGGUGCUACUCAUCAAGAAUCAGUGAAUUCAUUAAGGAACGCAGGCCAGUCAAUUCGUCUAGUCGUCUGUAAAGGAUAUGACAAGGCCGAAGUCGACAAACUGUUAGCUGAAGGAAAGUUGACAAAGGAAAACAAAUCUGCAUCACAGAGUGUUUCUAGCCUUGAUCGAGAAGAUCAUGACAGUGAUACAAUAAGACAGGAACAACAGAUGAAACAAGAACUAGUUGCAUGGGAAAAAGAAGAGGAAAGGAAAAAAGAAAAGGAUGUUCAAAUGGAUGUUGAACAUGUUAAAGAUAAAUCUACACCAGAAAAAGUAAUGGAAGUGGUUCGAGCAGUUGAAAUACUAGCCAAUACUAAUGAAUCUAACCAGCCAAGUAAGCCAAAGUCUCCUGGUGGUCCUAAGUCAACAGACAGUCUCAAGACGACCACGAUAGUCAUGAGCAAGCAUACACUUGCUCCUCAAAGCGAGAAUAAUCAGCCAGAUUUUGUUCAAAUCGACGUUGAUAGAGACAGAGAGAGGAAUGAAACUGAUGAAUUGGUGCAUGUUUUUGAUAAGCAUGAUCCUUUUCUAAGUAGAAAGUCGACUCAGUUAAAGGAUGCGGAUGCUUUGCAUAGGACUGAAGAACCUAAUUUGAAAUCUCCAUGUAGAGAUACAUCCGUCAAAGCAACAUCAUUGGACAGGGAAGCACAAAAGAAAUUCCCAUCGGAUUCAAACCCUUCUUAUUCAAGGGUCUACAAACCUGAAGAGUUUAAUUUAAACAAACCUUUUGAAUAUGAUUCACGACAAAAUUCUUAUACUGAAUACAAAGAAAAAAAGCCUUCUUGGGACUAUGAAAGCAGGGAAUCGUUUAGUUCUCUUGACAGAGACGAUCGAUUUUAUGUUGGUUCUUCAGAGAAAGCGGGCAGUUCAAAAGACUUUAUUGAAGGAGAUAAAUAUUCUGAUGCUAUAUCAUCUUGUUUAAAAGAUUCUAGCAAAAUAGCAAACACGCCUGCACAUUCUUCACAUGAGUUCUUUGAGAAAAGGAUUUUUUCAGAUAAAGUUGAAUAUUCAUCGUCAGAAAGUGAUACAAAUUCACUCCCAAGAAAAUACAAGCCCAUAUUGAAAUCGCCAAUAGGAAAAAGACAUUCUUAUCACUAUUCUGAAUUUGUUAACGAUAAAAAUCAAGAUGUGUUUAAUUGGGAUGUUGAUAAAUUACAUAGUCCUGUUUCUUACCCGAAGAGAGAUUAUUCAGAUGAUUCUUAUGACACAAGAUCCCUUUUAUUACAAACACAUCGUGCAAAACCAACUUUAGAGUUUAAAAGUGCAACACUUCCCCGUACCAAAAUCGUUAGGUUUAAUACAAAUAUCCAACAAGUCCAACUUCCAGUUGAUAAAAGUGAUGAAGAUGUUUUCUGGCCUUCUGAACCUGAAUCUGAGCCUUUGCCUUCACCUUCAAAAGUCACUACCGUCUUUAAGGAAGUACCUUCACCAUCAAAGGUAGAAGUCACAAAUAUUCAUCCACCCAUGACAAAUUCAAACCCGACAAUAUCCUGCAAUGUUUCUAUCCCUCUGCAUGUGAUUAAUAAUGAGCCUAGGCAAACGAACACAAAUCCUUUUAUUGACCCUAGGCAAGCAUUUUUUCGUAUGCCUCAGGCGUAUCAACACCACCCUAUAUAUCCUUAUUCUUAUGUUUACGCACCUCUACAACCACCAUUAGAAACAAAUUUUGGAUCCAUGCAACCCUUAUAUCAUCAGCUACCAGGACAAAAUUUUUCAUUUCCGAUGGUGCCGAUUUCUUCAAACCAAGUUCAGUUGGAAUUGUCCAAUUCUCAACACUAUAAUACACCGGUUAUGACAACUGUACCUCAAGAGACUCGGGCUGGGAGCGAUGGAAGUCCUAGUCCGAUUAGAUUGAAUACAAUACAGAAUAGCCAGCCAGAAAUUUCUGUCCCAAAAAAGGAAACAGACAAAAAUAUAGAUAAAGACAUGCCUCGUACUAUUGGCGAUGAAAAUGAAAAUCAUAGUACAUAUCCGACAACUGUUUGUAGUUGUCACAAUAGUGAAUUAUCUUCGACUUCUCUUGUCAAACAGGUCAUAGAGAAAGAAGAUAAGAGUAAAAAGUCAGACGCUGGUAUUUUCAGAUUCAGCCAAUUUCAAUCAUUGAGGAAUAAAUUUGAAACAAACAAUUCUCAAAAUAACAACACUUUUAUAAAAACGAACCCUUUCGCUGAAUCUGCUUACAAAUCAGAAGGCGCACACGACAAUGAGGAAAAGCUUCAACACCGUCAGCCUUUGGUUAAGAGUUGUCUACUUUCUAGAGAUGAAUCGCCUCCGCCGCCACCCGUCAAUUACGCAACGCUCCCUUCAACAAGUGAAAUUCCCAGUUGGCAAGAAAUAUUUCUGAGCACACCCCCUCUUCCUGGGCCAGAGGAUUUUGAUGAAAAUGCUAACUAACACACAAAUUUCCAAAACUAAAGAACUUUUGUGUGAAUAAACUUUUGAUCUGAAAAUAACUUGCAUGGACAUUCUUGUUUUUAGUUUUCUUUCUUUUUUUAAUACUUAAUAUAUUUAUUUACUACAUGUUACUUUACAUUUCGGUCUCUGCCUUAUUUUUUUUUCUUCGGGUGAACAAACUUUAUUCUUGUAGUAUUCUAUUAAAAUCAUUGAACUCUUGGAAAACAAUAUUGAGUGCUUUCAGACAGUUGGAACAGACAGUGUUUGAUAAACGAAAGACAACAAACAACGGGAGUGAAGCAAAAACUCCUGAACCCAAGGCUUCAGUCAGUGAUAAAAAGAAGUUUUUUGAGAAAGCUAUGGAAGAACAU
RNAcentral lists this unclassified non-coding RNA (6631 nucleotides) under Cimex lectularius (bed bug). RNAcentral's name for it is "protein lap4, transcript variant X2". The record is from RNAcentral. Lineage: Eukaryota; Metazoa; Arthropoda; Insecta; Hemiptera; Cimicidae.